This 2217-nucleotide long non-coding RNA is filed under the name Homo sapiens (human). RNAcentral describes it as "HSALNT0246212". Lineage: Eukaryota; Metazoa; Chordata; Mammalia; Primates; Hominidae. The record is from RNAcentral.
UGGUGGGUGCAGGGCAGAUGCAGGCCCGGCCGCCCCAGCCUUGUCCCCCUACUGUCUCUGUAGUGGGUCACACUGUGGGUCACCCUCCUCCAAGGGCCCCACGUCUCGGGCAGACAGAGCAGGGGGUGAGGGGCCCCGGGGGCCGAGCCAGCUCUGACCUCCUCUGAGCACCUGCCUGCAGCCAGCCCCUCUGCCUGCCAACCACCGGCCCUCAGCAGUCCCUAUAUCCUCAAAUCCGCCCCAUCCCCCACUUGGCUAUACUGGAAGUGGGCACGCUUCUGUUACCCAAAUCCCAUCCUUCCAGCCUGAUAGGAAGGAACGCCCUGGCAGUGCUGUCUGGUCCUAGCCACAGUGACCCAGAGGCCAGGUGUCGGGGGCUGGGGCCGGUGAGGGCUCUGAGGGGCCGCCCAGUGCUCAGGAGCCAGGGCUCUGCUGCUACUGGGGCCUGAGUGGGGCUGCAGCCCCAGCCUUGGCACCUGGAACAAGGGACAGCCACACAUGUGCCUGUCUGAGUCUGGGGCAGGGCUUAUGCAGGCCGGGCCCGGCCCUUGGCGGGUGUUCAGGGCCUGAUACUACCACCCUUAGGAGUGGGGCAGGCACCGGGCAGGUUUGUGAGAACUGCACCCACAUUUCCGCCACAGCUGGAAGAGGACGUGCCAACCGGAGUCCCACCAGGGGCGGGGGUAGGGGCAGGUGGGUGGGGUGGGGUGGGGGCGGUGUCCAGAGAAGCCUGGGCUUUCCCCUGAGUCCCCAGGGACCCCGUUGCCGGGCUCAGGCCCUCUCAGGAGCCCAUUCUGUCCUCCACGCGGGUCUUAAGGAUGGAAUUCUGCAUCCCUGGCCCCUCCCAGAUGGAGCCCUGGACACUGCGGAGGCUGAGCCUCAGUAUUCCCCAUGCCCCAGAGCUGUGCUGUCCCCCAGGCUGGGAGCUGGGGCAGAAGUCAACUCCAGCCUACAUGGGCCCAGCAGCUACCUCCAGAUGCCCCAAAACAGGUGCAAAGGGAUACCCAGCUGCUCAUGAAAAUGAAUCCCAGAUGGAGACAAAGAGCCCUGCCUGGCCCUGGCCUGGCGUGGCCGGAUGUCCCUUUCCACCUUCCUGCUCACAGAGGAGGCUGGGCUUCUGAGGCCUGAGGGGCCAGGCAGGAAGCCAUGGGCCACAAGGCACCCCUGGGCCCCCGCUCCCCGACUUCCUGCAUGGUAGAAGGCCCGUCCCGGGGCCAACUGCCUCUGCCACCACUGCCUGGAUGAGUGAGGGCAGGAGGUGGAAGGGUGAGGUGGGGCCCUGACCCUCGGGAAGAGGGGUCCUGGACUCAGUUUCCCUCCCUGUCCUGAGGCUGCUGCCUUCUAGCCAGAUCCUGGUUUCCAGGGGCCCUGUCCUGCCCAGCAGUUCCCACAGUGCUGGCUGGUUCUCAAAGGGAGACCCCAGGAGACCCCCCCCCAGGAGACACCUGGGCAGGGCAGGGGCAGCUCUGGGGGGGGGCAGCCAUAUGGUGACCCCUCCACUGCCCACAGCCACACAGCCCCUCCCCGUAACCUUCUCUGCAUUUGCUAAUGUUUUGUGACAUGAAGCCCUGAGAUUAAUUUUUUGCCUGUCUUAAUUGAAGGAACCAUUUAGUGCCGAUUUAACUAUUAUUACCAAAUCAUCAGGAUUGAUGCAGUGCGCACACGCACGCGCCAAUCGUGUUUGGAGGAGCUCGGAGGAUUUAUGCAAAUGGGCCUGCCGGGAGAGGCAAUUUGUAGCCGAGAAGGACAAUUAUACCAGGCCCGGGAGUGCGCCAACGACUGCGCCGGGCGGGUAAUGGAUAAUAACAUCGCGCCGGCAGCCGUGAGCAGCUCCACAGCGUGACCAACGACUUUAUACAGUGCAGAUAAAGAGGCCUGCACGCAACACCGCCUCACACUCCAGGGGGGCCGGGCGGGGACGAUGCCACAGCCAGGUGUGCAGAGCCGGCGUGGCUGGGCCUGGGGGCCGUGACUUCCAGAGGGGGACCCGGGCCAGGGUGGUGCUGGGAGCUGCCAGAAGGGCAAAGCCUGUCUGGAGCAGGGCUCUGUCUGCUGGUCACUCUCGAUGGUCUAGGAAGGGCAGGGCCAGGCCUUCAGAGUAGGUGUGAAGGGGCACCAGCAGCCUGGAAGCCUCAGGGGAGCCUGGACCCUGCUCCCCAGCCUCGAGGGCCCAGGGCCGGCCACACGCGCCCUGCCAUGCCAGUGCCCAGGACUCAC